CCUUUGGGGUCCGAGUUGUAAUUUGCAGAGGUGCUUCGGGUGCGGUCCCCGUCUAAGUGCCCUGGAACGGGCCGUCAUAGAGGGUGAGAAUCCCGUCUGGGAUGGGCGGCCGCGCCCGUGUGAAGCUCCUUCGACGAGUCGAGUUGUUUGGGAAUGCAGCUCUAAGCGGGUGGUAAAUUUCAUCUAAAGCUAAAUACUGGCCGGAGACCGAUAGCGCACAAGUAGAGUGAUCGAAAGAUGAAAAGCACUUUGAAAAGAGAGUUAAACAGCACGUGAAAUUGUUGAAAGGGAAGCGUUGUCCACCAGACUCGCCCGGGGGGGUUCAGCCGGCACGUGUGCCGGUGUACUCCUCUCCGGGCGGGCCAGCAUCGGUUUGGGCGGCUGGUGAAAGGCCCCGGGAAUGUGCCACCCUUCGGGGUGCCUUAUAGCCCGGGGUGCCAUACAGCCAGCCUGGACCGAGGCCCGCGCUUCGGCGAGGAUGCUGGCGUAAUGGUGGUCAACGGCCCGUCUUGA
This 513-nucleotide ribosomal RNA is filed under the name Penicillium sp. RNAcentral's name for it is "LSU rRNA". It matches the Rfam family "Eukaryotic large subunit ribosomal RNA", at positions 128 to 657 of the family's 3401-position model. The record is from RNAcentral. Lineage: Eukaryota; Fungi; Ascomycota; Eurotiomycetes; Eurotiales; Aspergillaceae.